GCAUUAAUGGGGUAGUGGUAACCUGGGUCGUUGCCAUGAGAAACAUACAUGAUCGUUUCGACCCGCCGGGGGUUCGAUUCCCCCUUAAUGCA
Molecule: non-coding RNA, 92 nt
Organism: Mycena galericulata
Lineage: Eukaryota; Fungi; Basidiomycota; Agaricomycetes; Agaricales; Mycenaceae
Source: the annotation of a GenBank genome assembly